This 8588-nucleotide long non-coding RNA is filed under the name Phaseolus vulgaris (common bean). RNAcentral's name for it is "long non-coding RNA (PVUL_LNC001928)". The record is from RNAcentral. Lineage: Eukaryota; Viridiplantae; Streptophyta; Magnoliopsida; Fabales; Fabaceae.
CACUGGGUACACCCAACUUUGUUGCUUCUUCUACUCUCCUUUUCAUUUCUUCGUAUAAUUUCUACACAUAAAAUGAAACUGAGUCUUCAAAAUACUUGGUGAACAAGUGAGAUGAAAGUAAGAAGAUGAGUAAUAGGUGCAUACAUGGAUGGUUGCCAAGUGUUUGACAUAGUUAUGGUCCUGUGAUUUUGUUGAAGCAACAGUGUUAAAAUAUGCAGCAGGUGACCUUGGUUCCACCUUAAAUCUCUUGCAGAAUGGAAUCCAAUGCUUGGCAAAGGAAGAAGCUUGUAAAAGAGCAUAAAAGGUUACAUCUGAGCCUCCAUCAUCUGAGAGAUACACGCUCAACUUCUCAGCUGGAUAGUCAUAAGCCAUCACAGAUAACACUGUAUUGAUCACCAUCAUCGGUGGCUCCACCACUGCAUCUGCCGUGAACACAAAGAUGUCCACUUCCGGGAACCUACUCUCAUAUCUGCCAAAUUGAAACACACACAUAAUCACAAAUUAGUACACUACAAAAAAAUCAGAUUUAUAGACAGAUUUUUAUCCACAGAGUCCAUAGAAACAUCUACGUAAAGGUGACAAAGAUGAACCUUGGAGAGAGUCUGUUGGGGAAGGUUGUUCUGUAGACCAUGUUCCAUCGAAGGGCAUGAUAAAAAACCCAAUAGAUGCCACCCCACACUUCUGCAACAAACAAACCAAGCCAAGCCCAUUGGCCAGCUUCUCCUUUUGCAGGUAUGUGAGUGAGUCUGAAUGCCCAGACAAAGCAUAUGGCAACAAACAAAGAGACAGCAUAGAGCCUCCGAAUGUGCCUUGCUUUGUCUUUCCUUGUUUCAAACAAAGAGUUCUCUUCACCACUCCCCAUUCUGCCUUCUAACUCACUCCUCUCUCUUCUUGCUCUCUGCAUCCUCAGUUCACUUUCUUAUAUAGCUACAAAAAAUGAUUAUGAUAUUCCACGAGUUUCAAUAUAAUAUUCUGUUAACUUGAAUGUUUUUUGAAAAUAUAAAAUUGGCUCUGAUCGUUCGUUAGCAAGGCAUGAGUAGAUAGGGAAGUGAUAAUUUUGGAAUGGUAGGUAACGAUCCAUGAACAUCACACGCCAUUUUGGAAGGGUAACUGGUCCAUGAGCUACUCAUGUCAUUUUGGAAUCAUAGAUAACCCAGAAAUUUUAUACUAUUAUUUUAAUAUUUUUUCAUAUCAUUUAAUUAUAAAUUUAUCCUUUAUUAUAUAUAUUUAUUUCUAAAUUCAUAUAUAACUCUUAAUUUUCAAACCAUCAUUUUCCAUCCACAAAUUACCACUAGUAUAUGCUACACUGACUUUACCACCAAGACUUCAAAGCAAGUGACGAGUGCGCUGACGAAACCAGACCAAUAUUCACAUGCUAAACUUUGAUCAUAUCAUAACUAUUUUGUUUUCUUAACACAACUUAUUUAACUUAAUUGAUGUUUCGAAACAAAUGUAUAUGUGAUUGAUUUUAUAGUUAGUUUAGUAAUUUUAUUUAUGUGGGUAGGAUUAAAUCAGUAAUGAUACCAAAUAAGAACAUAGAGCAGAAAAGGAGCGUAUAGAUGGAAAGUUCCUUUUGUGUAGUCGCCGUCCACCACCACAGACUCAUAAAAUUCAUUUAAUGGGUGUCACUCUCCAACAUACCCAGCAAAUAUAAGAACCACUCAAAACAUAUUAGGAUUAUGUUUCUAAAAAUAGAAAAAAUGAUGUGGUGAGUAUGAUUUUGGGAGAAUAUGUUAGCAUCCUCCAAUAACGAUUCAAGUAUUUUUUCCACCCUCCAAUUAUGAGUUUCAAUUGUAAGGUUAGAACUGAGAGAGAUAUGUUGUUUUGGAUAGACUCAGUAGUCUUGAAAUAUAGAUUCUCGAUAUUCUUCUCUUGGUCUAUUGUUAAGAAGGCAAUUGUGGAAAAUGAGUUAAUGGGGUUUGGGAGUGGAACUUAAUUUGGAGAAUGAGUCUUUUUGUUUGGGAGGAGGAGCAAGUAAGCCAGCUUUUAGAGAUGAUUUUCAAUAAGAGGCCUGAGUUGGAGACCGCUGACAAAUGGGUUUGGAAGGAUAGCGAGUCUGCAGUGUUUUCAGUCAUGUUUGCUUAUGAUUUAUUAAGGGGAGAGGGAAACGAGGAAGAUUCGAGAAUGUACAAUUUCUUUUGGAGGAUUAAGACGCUUCCUUCAGCUCAUGUCACAACUUGGAGAAUGAUUGAAAACAAGGUUGCUUCUGAGGUAAAUUUGAAGAGACAAGGGAUAGGGGUAGAGAGCAACCUUUGUUGUUUGUGCAGGGUGUCAGAGGAGUCAACAAAUCAUUUGUUCUUUGGAUGCAGAGUUGUUUGGCUAGUUUGGAAUGUUACAAAUGGUUAAGAGCGAGUUCGGUUGAUCUUCUUGCUCUUGGUCCCCAUUUCGAACAAUUCAAAAUUAUGGAUGCGUCUUCUUUGGUCAAUCUUAUUAUGGGUAAUGUUUGGAUCGCAUUGGUUAGCGAGAUUUGGAGACAUAGGAAUAAUUGUUUAUUUAGAGGUGGAGUGGUUGAUCAUACUGAAAUUUUUUCCCUGACACAAGUUAAGGUUUGGUUUUGGAUCUCUUCAAAGGUACAGUAAGUAAGUUUCUCAUUUUAUGACUGGUGCUUUGAACCCCUGGUCGAUUUAAUGUUACUAUAAGGGUGGAGGGGUUGGUCCUAGAUCUUUCUAUUUCUCUUUAGUUGGUAGUGUUGGAGUAGAGAAUAGGAGGUUCCAUUAUGGAUUUUGAUGUGUAUGUGAAAAGGUGCUAUUUGUUCUCUUACUUUGUAUGAGGGUUAGACCAUCCCUUAAGUGAGUCAUUUUAAUUUUAUUGUUUCUUGCUGAUAAAAAAAACCCCUCCAAUAACGAUGAUUACACUUUAUAAUAAUCGUACUCGUAUGUAAAACUACAAUAAAUUGUUAUCGAAUUUUUAGAUAUUUAAGGAUUGAAUAUGUUUUUGGUAUCUGUAUUAUAAUAUAAAAUUGAUUUUUAUUUUUUGUCCAAAUUUUAGGACAUAUGAGUAUUUGUAGUACGUAAAUAAUUAAAAUGAAUCUUUUUAUAUGUGGAAUUGAUUCAAUUUGAGUUUUACUUGAUCAAAACAUUGUAAGUAGUUAUAGUGGACAUCAACCAUUAAAACAACAAUGAAUUUAUUAUUGAUGGUGCUAUAACUAUUUCCAAUAGGUUGAUGAAGUGAAAUCUCAAAUUGAAUCAAUUUUAUAUACAGAAAAAUUUAUUUUAAUCAUUUUCAUACUAAAUAUAUAGAUGAUAGUUUAAAUGAAGGACGAAAUCAUAUUUCAUAUUAUAGAGUACCAAAAACAUAUUUUAACUUUUUUUUAAAUAUUAAUAAUGAUUCUAUAAUUAUUUUUAAAAAUUAAUUUAACUAUUAUUAAAGUUGUAUUUGCAAUAUAAACCAGUGUAACAGGUAAGAAUUCUAGAUUUUUUUUUAAUUUAUCUUUUAAAUGGAUGAAGCUAUAUUAAGAUGAAAGUACAAUAGGAAAAUGACGCAAAUGAAAAUAAAGGGCAAAUAUCACCAGACGUGAAAGUAAAGUGUUACCGAAUUAUAAAUUUAUUCUUUUAUCUUUCUAUUUAUAUUGAUUUGAUCUUUUAUUUUUGAAAUAAUUAUUUUCAUAUCAAUAUAUAUUAAGUAUUAAAAUAAAUAAAUAUUGAAUCGUUUUAGCUGACAACAAGUCUCUAGAUUAAAAUAUGAUAACAAAACUAUAAUCACAUAAAUAUACAUUAAAAUAAAAAACAACUAUAUAUAUAAAUGGCAUAAUAAUUUAAAAUUAUAUUAGAAAUAACAUAAGCGCCUUAAACAGUAAUAAAUAUGUUUAAAUUAUUAAGGACCAUUCUGUUAUUGCAUUAUUAUGCCAAGGACCAUUCUGUUAUUGCAUUAUUAUACUAAGGACCAUUAUGUUAUUGCAUUAUAAUGGUAAUGAAGAGAGUGGUCAUUACAUGAAAUUGCAGAAGCCUAGUUUGUGUUUUAAAGACUAUUUUCAUUUUAAAGUUAUGUUUCUCAUUUUAGCUAAUUUCUAUUUUUUAUUAAUUAAAAAAUUGUUGGACUUUCUAGUAAUAUUACAUAAAUAUAUUUUUUUUUCUUAAUAGUUUGUAUUUUUUUUAAAUGCUACUUCAUACUGGCUUUCUUAAAAUAUCAGUUUCUAAAGUUUAGCCGUCUAUGAGGCAGGCUCAGACACUUCUUUUAAAUGGCGUAUCAGUGUCGACACUCGUAGGACACUUAUUAGUGAAGGUGUUCAAUUCAAAAAAUAUUUGUUGGAUUUUUGAAAAUUUUAGCACGAUUCUAACACAAUUUUAAAAGGUAUAAAUAUAAUAAUUUUCUAAAAAUUCAAAUUUAUUAUAUAAAUUUUUAUUAUGAUUAUAAAAAUAAGGAACAAAUUCUUUUGAACCAAUCAUGAAAAAUAUCUUCAUGCUCCCAAAAGAAUCUCAAACAUACUUUUGCACAUAAAUAUUUAUUUUUAAUUUAUAUAAUUCAAAAUUAUAUAAAAUAUAGAUCCGUGUCCCCGUGUCAUACAUUUUAAAAAUUAUACGUAUCUCCGUAUCCGUAUCGUGUCAGUGUCCGUAUCUAUAUCUGUGUUACAUACUUAACAGUGAAUUUGAAAAUGGAUAAAGAGAACCACCUAACAAAAAUAGGACUAGACAAAAAUAACCCUCAAAUUAGUUAAAAUUGAUAUAUUUAUAAAUAUGCUAAACAAUUCUGGAGCUAACUCAAAAAAAAAAUACACUAUUUCGUUUUCAUCUUAAUUAUUAUAUUAAAGAGUAUUGAAUUUGGAGUGAUUUAAGAGAAAAUACUAAAUAAAUUAAAGUUAUUUGAAUUAAAAUAUGUUUGAGUAGAUUAGUGUGAACAAAUUUAUUAAAGUUUGACAUAAAGAAUUGUUUUGAUUUCUCUUUAUAACCUUUUUAAUUUUUUACAUUAAUAAGAGAAAAGAUAUUUAGUUCUUGCUUUUCUAUCCGAUUCAAUUGGAUUCAAACUUAGCAUAUACUAGAAAUAAACUACAAAAAUUAAAAUAUAAAAACUAUUUCAAAUGUAAAUACAUAAGAAAAACCAAUAUUGUAUUUUUUUUAAAUCUCAGAUAAUAUUUCUUACUUCUUGUAUUUAUACAUUUACUUGCGUUUGGUUGUUCUCAUUCAUCCAAACGAGAUAUAUCAUAAUCAUCUUUACUAUUAAAUUUUUCACAUCUUUUACUAUAAGAAAAUUAUUGAAUAGAAAUAAAUUUUAUAGAAAAAAAUAAUUAGUUGUUACAGUGAUUAAAUUAGAUAUUAUUUUAGAGAAUAACAAAAUUAUUGGUUUCUAAAUUAGUUUCUAUUAGUGAUAAAUAGUUUAUUAAAUUGGUAUCUAAUUAGCUACUAAGGUUUUUUUUACAAAAUUUAGAAUUUAAAUAAUUGGAAAUUCAAAUUAACCUAUAGUGUAAUUAACCUCUAGCACAACUUAGGAUGAAUGUUUAAAUUAAUAACAAAAGUAAUAAUAAUGCCAUGUAUUGAGAAUAUUUCUUUCCAUUAUUUCAAAUUAAUAGUAUGACAAUAAGUACAUAUUUUUCGAUGGAAAGACAAAGAUACUUGCAUAGAAUAAUAGAUAAAAUAAUGAAAGCAAAAUGUCUUUUCUUAUUAGAGGAUAAAACAGAAGACUGCAUAAAUUUACUCAAUUGAAUAGUUUGAAGAACACACAUGCAGUGAAAGCCACUGCAGUAGACUUGAUAGAAACAGAAGUUGGCAUUCUACCCUUAUCCUUCCUCACAAAAAUGGCUUGGUAUAAGGGAAUAUUGAUGACAACUAAAACUCCACACAAAAGAACUUGUAAUGUCAUUUUCUCAGCAGCAAAGGUACCUUUUUGAAGGACCAAAUCCUUUAAAGUUAGAAGCAAGCAAAACAAAUUGAGUAAUGCAAGUGUUGCUAGAACAGUGAAAUAAGGAGAAGAUGUUCCAAAUUCCAUGACCUCUUUCUUGUAACGUUGAGCAACAUCAUCAUCAAUGACCUUUGAUGUGAGUGAAUAUGAUGAAUUUGGAUGUCCAAAGAAUCCUAGGAUGCCGUCUAUUAAGGAAAAAAGAAAGGAACUUGUUUUCACGUACAACCACAUUCUUGUACCAUUCCACCAACCUUGGAUUGAUCCUCCCAUACUCAAACCCUCAAUCAAACUAUAAGCAAUUUCCCCAACAGUUACACAUAUGAAAGGUAUACACCAUAAGCUAGAAAUCUGUUGAUCCAAUAGAUAAAGCACAAAAUGUUAACAACAUUAAAGAAUCAUAUAAAAGCAUAACAUGUUUAUGAUUUAUGGAUUUAAACCCCAUUAAUUAUACAUGAGCUUAUAUUUAACAGUGAGUAUAAAAUCAAACAAUAAAAGAAGACAACUUUCUAUGUUUCAACUUUUAGCUAAUUAUAAAUUUUGUGUAAUUUACAAUGUGAAUUUGUGUUUGAAAGAGGAAAAUGUUGCAAAACUUGUGAUUAUUUUGUGAGAAAAAGUGAUAUUACCUUUGGAAAGAGGGAAACACCCUUAAGGAUAUAAAGUGAAGGGAUGAUGGAGUAAUAUAAUACUGACAAGGAAGUGAUGGCAAAGAAGUUGUGGUGCCAAUAUCCCAAUAGUAGGCAUAUGUUGAUCUUUUGAUCACCAUACCAUUUAGGUCUGAACUUAGAAAGUGUAAGUUGCAUAUGACCUUCACCCCAUCUCUUUAGUUGAACUAGUGUGUGAAGUAAGCUAGUUGGAGCAACACCAGAAAAAGCACUUAUUGAUGGGUUGUAGUAUACUGAUUUCCAUCCAUGUGCAUGCAUCUGCAACCCUGUUAUCACAUCUUCCACAAGACAGCCAUAUAUUGAACCAAUCUACAACAAAAUAAAUCAUUUAUUGUACUUUAAUAAUACUCAAGUAUUAUUAUUGACUAUGAUUAUGAAUGUGACUAUGAAAGUGUAAAAGAGAUUAGUAAAUCACUUUUUUUCCCCAUAAGGUAUUUUUCUCAUAACUGCAAUUUGCUAAAGCUUUCGAUUCUUCUUCGAGUUCAUGCAAGUUUACUUCAGUCACCUCAUUCUCAUUCUGAUCAUUCCAAUCAUUUUUGUAUUCACGACUAAACUUCUUCCACCAGAGAGCAUCUCUUCUAAGAUAGCAACAAGUUCCAAUAAAAAGUGGGCCACCAAAACCAUCAAAACCAUGGAGUUCUACCUUCAAAGUGAUCAAUAAAGUGUGAAAUUAUUUUUAGAGAAAUUUAUCCGUCUUCAUCAUAAUAGCAAUGCUAUCUAUGCCUAAAGUAAGAAAAUUACUACAAAUAUAUUUUCACCAAAAUUAUGUACAUUUAAGAAAGACACAUAUUAUCUUUUAGAUAAAAAAACAAAUAGCAAUACAUAUAGAUGAAAAUACUAACCAUUUUUUUUAUUACAUCGACAAUUUAACUAACUCACCUGCACAAUAUCUGAUAUAGCAUUCGCGUAAAGAUCAUUCUUUCCAAUAUUAUGAAAACAUUGUGGAAAUUGCACGUAAGCAAUUUCUUGACCUUUAUCUUCAUCCAUGAAAAAACACAGAGCAUCUUUCACUGAUUUUGAAUGGGUGGAGUACAUGUCACAAUCCAGAAAUAGAAUGAUUUUCCCAUUACUAAUCGUUGAAGACACUCUUAACUACAUUAAGAUAAAGAAAUAUAAUGUCAUACUCAAUGUAUUUGGAUUGAGUAAUGUUUCGUGAAAGAACUGAUAACCUAUAUAGAGAUUUAUAUAAAUAAUAUAUGGUAAUUUAAUUCAACUAAAAUUUGGAAAUUUUGUUGAUGAGAUAUUAGAAGAAUGAGUCGCAAGGUUAUCAAGAGUUGUAUACGUGAUUCUCCAUACAGAUUUUGUUUUAAGAAGUGAAGGGUUGUAAUUAUGGACAGUACCAAUGCAUUUAUAGCUCCAGCUUUGAAGUUGGUGUGAUAGUGAGGUCUCUUUUCACGAGCCAUAUACACUAAGGUUGGCAAAGUACACCCAUCUACGUCCUUUGACCCUUCUGACUCCUUUUUAUGCAUCAAAAUCUGUUAACACAAUCAAACAUGCAUCAAACUUUCUGCACAUUUCAAACACAUACUUUUACAAAACAAAAAGUUUAGAAAUUUAUGUACUUGAAGGAUAGUAUCGUGAUCACGUGGAGAGGAAUACGAAUCCCAUUGGGAAAAACCAUUAUGCUUUGACCGUGCUUCACUGGGUACACCCAACUUUGUUGCUUCUUCUACUCUCCUUUUCAUUUCUUCGUAUAAUUUCUACACAUAAAAUGCAACUGAGUCUUCAAAAUACAUGUUGAACAAGUGAAAUGAAAGUGAAAAGAUGAUUAAUAUAGGUGCAUACAUGGAUGGUUGCCAAGUGUUUGACAUAGUUAUGGUCCUGUGAUUUUGUUGAGUCAACACUGUUAAAAUAUGCAGCAGGUGACCUUGGUUCCACCUUAUAUCUCUUGCAGAACGGAAUCCAAUGCUUGGCAAAGGAAGAAGCUUCUAAAAGAGCAUAAAAGGUUACAUCUGAGCCUCCAUCAUCUGAGAGAUACACGCUCAACUUCUCAGCUGCAUAGUCAUAAGCCAUCACAGAUAACACUGUAUUGAUCACCAUCAUCGGUGGCUCCACCACUGCAUCUGCCGUGAACACAAAGAUGUCCACUCCCGG